UGGGUUGUGGCUCAGUGGUAGGGUGCGUACUUAGUAUGUUUGAGGCACUGGGUUUGAUUCUCAGCACCACAU
RNAcentral lists this transfer RNA (72 nucleotides) under Marmota marmota marmota (Alpine marmot). It matches the Rfam family "tRNA". From Rfam's summary of the family: Transfer RNA (tRNA) molecules are approximately 80 nucleotides in length. Their secondary structure includes four short double-helical elements and three loops (D, anti-codon, and T loops). RNAcentral also lists the same sequence under 1 other name. The record is from Rfam by way of RNAcentral. Lineage: Eukaryota; Metazoa; Chordata; Mammalia; Rodentia; Sciuridae.